CCUACGGGAGGCAGCAGUGAGGAAUAUUGGUCAAUGGACGAGAGUCUGAACCAGCCAAGUAGCGUGAAGGAUGACUGCCCUAUGGGUUGUACACUUCUUUUAUAUGGGAAUAAAACAGGGUAUGCAUACCCUCUUGUAUGUACCAUCUGAAUAAGGAUCGGCUAAAUCCGUGCCAGCAGCCGCGUUAAUACGGAGGAUCCGAGCGUUAUCCGGAUUUAUUGGGUUUAAAGGGAGCGUAGGUGGAUUGUUAAGUCAGUUGUGAAAGUUUGCGGCUCAACCGUAAAAUUGCAGUUGAAACUGGCAGUCUUGAGUACAGUAGAGGUGGGCGGAAUUCGUGGUGUAGCGGGGAAAUGCUUAGAUAUCACGAAGAACUCCGAUUGCGAAGGCAGCUCACUGGACUGCAACUGACACUGAUGCUCGAAAGUGUGGGUAUCAAACAGGAUUAGAUACCCUGGUAGUC
Molecule: ribosomal RNA, 460 nt
Filed under: uncultured bacterium
Lineage: Bacteria
Description: partial 16S ribosomal RNA
Rfam family: Bacterial small subunit ribosomal RNA
Source: RNAcentral